Rattus norvegicus (Norway rat) is the source of this 1717-nucleotide non-coding RNA. Lineage: Eukaryota; Metazoa; Chordata; Mammalia; Rodentia; Muridae. The record is from RefSeq and is a predicted model, not a curated record.
CUCCAUAGCAAAGACAGGUCGGUGCUAUCUGAGCCAUGUCAGCUUGCAGAGCAUGGCUUGGGGAGAGCUGUUCUCUUUGGAUUUCUCUUCAGUUUUUAGUUUCCUCCCCACUCUUCCCACGGAGGACACAGUUAUCUCUUUCAUUCACUUACAGUCAUUUCUUUGCAGUGACUGGAAAAACACCCUCACUCUAACAUCUUCUCUUGCCUUUUCCUCUGUGAAGAACUCAGUAUUGAAGGUUUAAAGAAAAGACCAUGGCAAAGGGUUUCAGUAUCCUGCCAUGUCACGUGAACCAUGCAAGUGAUUAUGCGGAAGAAAGACACCUGCAUAUCUGUUGGUUGGAGAGUCCUACAGGCAGCUUACACUCUUUUUGGAUGCCAUAGGCAAGACACCCAAGUCUUGGCACCAACUCUCCCCAAACCCAACUUAUAUGAAAUUCAUUCCAUCUUUUUCAGUCCUAAAGGCUCUAAGUAGAGAAGGAGCCAAUGCCAUGGACAGGGUGUUCAGCUUGGAUCCAAACCCUAGAAGACAAUGGAGCCCCAUUGUGACUGACACAGUGAGCCACUGGAUGGCACUGUGGAUCCAUGCAGAUGAAGGUACUUAUUAGUUGUUUUAUAUUUCUCUGUUUCAUACCACUAACGGUUCACUUCUUGAGAGGCCAGAUGAAGAACAUUAUGGAGGUUGAUGGAGAGUUUGACAAGAGAGGCUUCUGUGGACUGACAGUGGAAACCUUGUUGGAGCAGAUUGAAAAGUAACACAGAAAAUUGUGACUGGUGAGAUAGCUAAAUGCAUAGUGUUUACUGCACAACAUGAACAUGAGAGUUCGGAUCAUCAAAACCUACAUAAAAGCUGUAUAGGUCAGGUGGCAAGAUCUCUCAGAGAGCAAAGGCGCUUGCCGCUAAGGCUAAAGACCUGUAUUUGAUCCCUGGAAUCCACAUCAUUGGUCGAAGGAAAGGAAUGGGCUCCUGCAGGUCAGCCUGUGACUCCCAUACCUACACAUGUCAUGCAUUCCUCAAUAAAUAUGAUUUUUUUAUAUAAAACUGGGCAUGCAUGGUGAUCUACCUAUAAUCUCAGUGCUUAGAAGUCAGGGGACUCCCCAAGAUCUGCUGUCUAGAGCUGUAGCUAGACCAGUCAAAUCCCAAGUUCCUGGUUCAAUAAGAGUUUCUGCCUCAGUGAACAAAGGAAAGAACAACUGAGGAGGAUGCUUAGUGUCAACUCUUGGUCUCCACAUGGAUGCUGUUCUCACAAGUGUGACAUACGUCUCUCCCUCUCCCCUCCCCCCUUUCUCGCGCGCACACACACACAUGCACACACACUAAGACAUGAGGAAAUGGUAGCAGCAUGCAGAUUCGGUCCUCUGUAUUUAUAGGUUUUGCACCUGUGUAUACCAUUAAGCACAUACUAGCAAAAGUACAUACAGAUCAUGUACAGGACCUUUUUAUCGUUGUGAUUACUUUCUAAACAAAGUCAAAUACAGACCUAUUUAUAUUAACAGCAAUCUAGAGAUAGUUUUAAGCAAGUAGGAUGAUGUGUGUAGAUCAUAUGCAGAUAUGUCUUCAGGAACAUGUGUAUCCAUGAGUUAUCCAUGAGCUUCCUGGAACUCAUACUUCUAGGUUAUUGAGGGAAAAGAGUAUUUACAACUCUUAUGAGAAUUUUCUUGUAAAGAAAAGGCAAAAGAGCCCCCUGUGCCAGAACCAACCAACCAACCAAACAAACA